Molecule: long non-coding RNA, 222 nt
Filed under: Elaeis guineensis (African oil palm)
Lineage: Eukaryota; Viridiplantae; Streptophyta; Magnoliopsida; Arecales; Arecaceae
Description: long non-coding RNA (EGUI_LNC008993)
Source: RNAcentral
GCUUAUUUCAUGAGGUAAAGAUGCUGCCACUUAAAGAACAAUUGAAUAUGAGAUUAGACAUGGGCACCGGAGCGGACCGCUCUGACACGAAUUGGGCGGUGCCUGGCACGGCAUGAAUUGGGCUGUGCCCGCUUCUUACAGUAACUGACCGUGCUAGGCACUACCUAUAUAAGGGGGCCGGCUGGACUGGAGAUUUUGUGGCCCGCGGUCCAGGCACGGCAC